UAAAGGUAUACAGUGGAGCAGUUAAAUUUCAAUUGUGCUAGAUAUGAAUCAUUUUUUAGUGUUCUUUUUUGUUCUAAGUUCGAUAUUUUUUGAAAACGAUGCAGAUUUGUUGUGUACAACGACACGAGAAUGUGAACCAGGCUAUUGCUGUGUAUCGGACAAUUCAAGAAUGGCUAUAGGAAUAUGCCUGCCGAUUAGCAGAGAAGGCGAGCGUUGUUUCAGCAAUUUUACAUCAACAACCAAUAUUUAUGCAAUUUUUUGUCCAUGCGAAAAAGGACUUUUAUGUUUGCAAUCCAGCCAAGGAUAUGAAACGAUUUGUCAAAAACAGUAAAAUUCAUAGUUUUGUCAACAAUUAUUCAAUACAAACAUACUGUAAGUGUGGAAGAAUAAGAUAAACUGAAGAA
Molecule: non-coding RNA, 404 nt
Organism: Tetranychus urticae (two-spotted spider mite)
Lineage: Eukaryota; Metazoa; Arthropoda; Arachnida; Trombidiformes; Tetranychidae
Source: RefSeq, a predicted model, not a curated record